This 4597-nucleotide long non-coding RNA is filed under the name Canis lupus familiaris (dog). Its description in RNAcentral is "lncRNA (ENSCAFG00000053318.1, ENSCAFG00845001767.1)". The record is from RNAcentral. Lineage: Eukaryota; Metazoa; Chordata; Mammalia; Carnivora; Canidae.
UAAUAGUACAUGUUUAAGUAAUUUUAUUCAAGAAGAAAAGAUGAAGUGUAUAUAUUCUGGGCUCUCGAAUAUAUGAGAAUACAUUUUUGUUGAUAUCAUACAUCAUUCAAAACUUAGAUGUGUAUGAGUGUCUGUGUGGUGUAGUCAGUUAAGCUCUGGACGCUUGGUUUCUACACAGGUCAUGAUCUCAGGGUCAUAAGAUCAAGCUUGCGUUGGGCUCCACACUCAGUGCAGUCUGUUUGAGAUUCUCUCUCCUCUCCCUCUGCUCCUCCCACUCAUGCUCUUUCUCUAAUAAAUCUUUUCUUUUUUUAACUUGGAUAUGUAGAAAAAUCUUGAUUUACAUUUUUUUUCUCCUCAGAACUCUAAAGGCUGUUUUUUAACCCUUAGUAUCUCUGAAACAAAAGUAGAAAUUAUGAAAGUUUUGGGCUAAUUCUUUUGUCUGAAGAGUUACAGUUUUUAUUGUCCUUAUCACCUAAACUUUUUUUUUCUUAUCACCCAAACUUUUUGUGAAAAUGUGGUAGAUAUGGUUCUUGCAGCAGGCAUUAUCAGCAAUAUACCCAGCAGUCAUUCUCUUUCUUCUUUAUCAACAGAAGGUGAAUUUUGUUUUGAACAGUAAUAUUCUCAACCUUCAUGGUAGUUAAAGGUGGCCAUGUAACACAAUUUGGCCAGUGAUCUAAUAACACAUGAAGGAGGGUUUUAUUUUCUUCAUAUAUCUCUUCUUUAUUGCUUCUUUCUUCCUGCUCUUGAAACUGGAAUGAGACAUUGGAGAUAAAGCAGCUUCCAUGUAACCAUUCUUCAUUCAUGUUUACUGGCAACACAUCAGUGAACAAAACAGUCAAAAGCCUCUUCCCUAAACUUAGGUGCAGUAUAUCAACAUAUAAUAAUAGAAUUAAAUAAAUGAAAUAUGCAGAAUACUGAUAAGGGUUAUGGGAAAAAAUAUCAGAGUUUGGAUUCGCAAGAGGCGGUUGGUGCAACAUUAAAAAGGGUGAUGUGGAAUGCCUCACUGAUGAUACUUGAGUAAAGUCAAAAAAAGUGAGGGUGCAGGUCAUGCAGUUAGCUAGAGGAGGAACAGCCAAUGGAGUUGGGAAAAACCAAUGCAAGGACUUGAGCCAGAAAGGUGACUGCUAUAUUUAAGGAACAGCAAGAAGCUGGUUUGGCUAAAGUUCCAUAGGGAUAGGGGUACUAGCAGGAUAUGAGGUCAUAGAGAAAACAGGGAGACAAUUAGUACAGAGUUAUUAGGCCAUUGUGUAGAAUUUGGCAUCUAAUUUUGAGUGAGAUAGAAAGCCACUAGAGGAUUUUGAACAGGGCAGGAAAUGUUCUGAUUUACAUUUUUAAAAGAUUUUGUUUUUAAACUUUUUGUUUUUAGACUUAUAGAAAAAAAUGCAAAGCUAGUACAAAAAUUUCCCUUAUAUCCCUUACCCCACUUCUCAAUUUAACACCUUGCAACAAGAACAAGAAAUUAACAUUGGUGCAAUAUUAGCUAAACUACAGGCCUUAAUCAAAUUUCACAUAUCUUUUCCACUUAUGUCAACUUUCUGUUCCACAAUCCUAUCCUAGGUCCCAUAUCGCAUGUAGUUGUUCCCCCCACCCCCACCCCCAUCCUUAGUCUCUUCCAGUCUGUAACAGUUCUUCACUCUUUUGUCUGUGGAUCUUGACACUUUAGAAGAAUACUAAUCAGUAAUUUUGAAGAAUGCCCCAGAAAAUGAGUUUAUCUGAUAAUUUCUCAUCCUUGAAAGUGUAUUAGUCUGCUAAGGCUACCAUAACAAAAUACCACAGACUAGGUGGUUUAGGCAACAAAAAUAUUUCUCACAGUUCAAGAAGUCCAAGAUCAAUGUUCCAGCCAAUUCAGUUUCUGGUAAGAGUCCUCUUCCUGGUUUGUGGAGGGCAGCAUUCUCAGUGUCCUCAUAUAACAUUUCCUCAGUUUCAGCAUACUGGCUUAGUGCAUUUGUGCUGGGGUGAGUGUAUCGAGAGGAGGGUUGCAUUCUGAUGUCUCCUCUUAAAAGGACACUAAUCCUGGGAUGCUGGGUGGCUCAGCAGUUGAAUGUCUGCCUUCAGCCCAGAGUGUGAUCCUGGAGUCCAGGGACCGAGUCCCACAUCAGGCCGCCCCUUACAUGGAGCCUGCUUCUCCCUCUGCCUGUGUCUCUGCCUCUCUCGAAUAAGUAAAUAAAAUCUCUAAAAAAAAAACAAAAAACAAAAAACAAAAAACACUAAUUCUAUUGGAUUAGGGCCCUAUCCUUAUUAUCUCACAUAACCUUAAUUACUUCCUUAGAGCCCCCGUCUCCAAUACAGCCAAACUGAGGGUGAGGGCUUCAUAUGUAUGAAUUUUAGGGGGGAACAAACACUCUUAGCAGAAAGGUCUUAUAUUUUUGGAAAGACUACCACACACACUUUAUGCAUCAUACAAUGGAUUUGUGGUAUCAGUAUGUCUUAUUACUGGUGAUAUUUACCUUGAUCAUUUGCAUGGGUUGGUGUCUUCUAGGUUUCACCAUGAAUAGUUACUAUCUUAAAUUUACAGUUAAUAAUAAAUAUCUUUGGAGACUCCAAAUCCUGUUUCUUCUCAAACUUUUACCCACUCAUUUUAGCAUCCAUUGGUGAAUUUUGUCUGCAAUAGUUAUUGGGGCAUUUGCAAUGAUGAUUCAUUAACUGAGAGAAAAUCUUGGUUGAGGCAAAUUUUGGGUGUGGAUGAUAAUCAAAAGCUGGGUCCGAUCCAUUAGUUAAUUUUGAGAUGCCCAACUUCUAAGUGGCAAUGCAAGAAGACAAUUGGAUAUAUAGUGUUGAAGUUCAAAGGAGAGUUCCUGAAGAUACUAUGCAGAAGUACUGAUGCAUAAGAAUUAGAUGAGAUCAAUACAAGUAUAGACAUAAAAGACAUACAAGCACUAAGCCAUAUAAGUAACUCUAACAAUAAGAAAUUAUGGAGAAAGUGAGGAAUCCGUCAAAGAGACAGGAGCAUCCGGUAAGGUAGUAGGAAAACAAGAAUAUGGUGCUUUGGAUGCAGAGUGAAAAACACAUUUCACUGAGAGACUGGUAAAAAUGGUCAAAUGCUACGGACAGGUCAAGUAAGAUAGAGACUAAUAACUGACAUUAGAAUUAGCAAAUUUUUAACGUUGUUGGAGAAAAAAAUGUUAAAAAAAGUCUUGGUGGAGUGGUAAAGAUAAAACUCUAAUUUGAGUGAAUUUCAGAAUGAGCAAGUAGGAGUCUGAGACCAUCAGUCCAGACAAACUUUGGAGAUUUUGCUGUAAAGGAUUCAAGCCACUUUCAGUAUAAUAUCAGAAGAAAUGUAGGUGCUUGAUGAUUUCAUGAUCAACAAAACCUUAAAUAUAAAGCAGAAAAAACAAAGGAAAAAGGCUAAAACAAGCAAGAAAAUGAAAUGAAAUGGGAGAUGAAUGCAAUAUAUCAGGGUGAUUUUAGUUGAAUUUAUUUAACGAAUACUGAUAUAUUGUUUACUGUGUCAGACACUAUUCAAGGAUUUACAAAUACAAUCCACUCAAAAUACAUUUCUUCCUCAAAAUUCAUAAAUGUCCUUUCCCCAAACUUUAAAUAUACUCAGACAUGAGUCCACAAUUUUACCCUCUGUUUAUACCAUCUCCUUAAGUGAUGUUAUUCAGACUUAUGACUUCAAAUAUGUACUAAGAGCCUUUAAUUUUGUAUUUCCAAUCUAAAGGAGCUGGGAAAGAACAAACAAAGCAUAAAGCCAGAAGGAAAUAAAGAUCAGAGCAGAAAUAAAUGAUAUAGAAACUAAAACAAAACAAAACCAAAAACCAAAACCCAAUAGAACACAUCAAUGAAACCAGGAGAUGGUUCUUUGAAAAAAAGAUUAAAAAAAAAGAAACUGACAAACCUCUAGCCAGACUUAUCAAAAAGAAAAAAAAAAAGAUGCAAAUAAAUAAAAUCACAAGUGAGAGAAGUAACAACCAACACCAUAGAAAUACAGAAAAUUAUGAGAAUAUUAUGAAAAACUAUAUACCAAUAAACUGGACAACCUGGAAGAAUGGAUAAAUCCCUAGAAACAUAUAAACUACUAAAAUUGAAACAGGAAGAAAUAAAAAAACUUGAACGGACCUAUAACCAGCAAAGAAAUUGAAUCAAUAAUCAAAAACUCCUAAAAAAUGUAAAUCCAGGGCCAGAUGGCUUCAAAGGAGAUCUCUACCAAACAUUUAAAGAGUUAAUAUGUAUUCUCAAACCAUUCCAGAAAAAAUAGAAAAGGAAAAAUUCCAAAUUCAUUUUAUAAGGCCAGCAUUAUCCUGAUUCAAAACCAGAUAAAUACACAACAAAAAAUAAGAGUAUAUAUAAGCCAAUAUCCCUGAUGACCACGUAUGCAAAAAUUCUCAGUAAAAUACUUGCAAACAGAAUCCAAUAGUACAUUAAAAGAAUCAUUCUCUGCGAUAAAUGGAUUUAUUCCUGGUUUGCAAGCAUGGUUCAGUAUUCACAAAUCAAUGUGAUACACUACAUUAAUAAAAGAAAGGAUAAGAACUAUAUGAUCACUUCAAUAGAUGUAGAAAAAGCAUUUCAUAAUGUAUAACAUACACUCAUGAUAAAAGCCCUCAAUAAAGUAGGUUUAGAGAGAACAUACCUCAACAUAAAAAAAAAAAAAAAAAAA